GGUUAAGCGACUAAGCGUACACGGUGGAUGCCCUGGCAGUCAGAGGCGAUGAAGGACGUGCUAAUCUGCGAUAAGCGCCGGUAAGGUGAUAUGAACCGUUAUAACCGGCGAUUUCCGAAUGGGGAAACCCAGUGUGACUCGUCACACUAUCAUUAACUGAAUCCAUAGGUUAAUGAGGCGAACCGGGGGAACUGAAACAUCUAAGUACCCCGAGGAAAAGAAAUCAACCGAGAUUCCCCCAGUAGCGGCGAGCGAACGGGGAGGAGCCCAGAGCCUGAAUCAGCAUGUGUGUUAGUGGAAGCGUCUGGAAAGGCGCGCGAUACAGGGUGACAGCCCCGUACACAAAAGCGCAUGUGCUGUGAGCUCGAUGAGUAGGGCGGGACACGUGGUAUCCUGUCUGAAUAUGGGGGGACCAUCCUCCAAGGCUAAAUACUCCUGACUGACCGAUAGUGAACCAGUACCGUGAGGGAAAGGCGAAAAGAACCCCGGCGAGGGGAGUGAAAAAGAACCUGAAACCGUGUACGUACAAGCAGUGGGAGCCCCACCACUAAGCCAGUGGUGAACUCCACAUACGCAUCCUUUGCUGAGGAUACGGUUAACGGAGCGAAAGCGACGUUCAACCUCAAAAGAAGCAGAGGGGGCUUAGUGGUGGGGUGACUGCGUACCUUUUGUAUAAUGGGUCAGCGACUUAUAUUCUGUAGCAAGGUUAACCGAAUAGGGGAGCCGGAGGGAAACCGAGUCUUAAUUGGGCGUUAAGUUGCAGGGUAUAGACCCGAAACCCGGUGAUCUAGCCAUGGGCAGGUUGAAGGUUGGGUAACACUAACUGGAGGACCGAACCGACUAAUGUUGAAAAAUUAGCGGAUGACCUGUGGCUGGGGGUGAAAGGCCAAUCAAACCGGGAGAUAGCUGGUUCUCCCCGAAAGCUAUUUAGGUAGCGCCUCGUGAAUUCAUCUCCGGGGGUAGAGCACUGUUUCGGCUAGGGGGCCAUCCCGGCUUACCAACCCGAUGCAAACUGCGAAUACCGGAGAAUGUUAUCACGGGAGACACACGGCGGGUGCUAACGUCCGUCGUGAAGAGGGAAACAACCCAGACCGCCAGCUAAGGUCCCAAAGUCAUGGUUAAGUGGGAAACGAUGUGGGAAGGCCCAGACAGCCAGGAUGUUGGCUUAGAAGCAGCCAUCAUUUAAAGAAAGCGUAAUAGCUCACUGGUCGAGUCGGCCUGCGCGGAAGAUGUAACGGGGCUAAACCAUGCACCGAAGCUGCGGCAGCGACGCUUAUGCGUUGUUGGGUAGGGGAGCGUUCUGUAAGCCUGUGAAGGUGUGUCGUGAGGCAUGCUGGAGGUAUCAGAAGUGCGAAUGCUGACAUAAGUAACGAUAAAGCGGGUGAAAAGCCCGCUCGCCGGAAGACCAAGGGUUCCUGUCCAACGUUAAUCGGGGCAGGGUGAGUCGACCCCUAAGGCGAGGCCGAAAGGCGUAGUCGAUGGGAAACGGGUUAAUAUUCCCGUACUUGGUGUUACUGCGAAGGGGGGACGGAGAAGGCUAUGUUGGCCGGGCGACGGUUGUCCCGGUUUAAGCGUGUAGGCUGGUUUUCCAGGCAAAUCCGGAAAAUCAAGGCUGAGGCGUGAUGACGAGGCACUACGGUGCUGAAGCAACAAAUGCCCUGCUUCCAGGAAAAGCCUCUAAGCAUCAGGUAACAUCAAAUCGUACCCCAAACCGACACAGGUGGUCAGGUAGAGAAUACCAAGGCGCUUGAGAGAACUCGGGUGAAGGAACUAGGCAAAAUGGUGCCGUAACUUCGGGAGAAGGCACGCUGACACGUAGGUGAAGUGAUUUACUCAUGGAGCUGAAGUCAGUCGAAGAUACCAGCUGGCUGCAACUGUUUAUUAAAAACACAGCACUGUGCAAACACGAAAGUGGACGUAUACGGUGUGACGCCUGCCCGGUGCCGGAAGGUUAAUUGAUGGGGUCAGCGCAAGCGAAGCUCCUGAUCGAAGCCCCGGUAAACGGCGGCCGUAACUAUAACGGUCCUAAGGUAGCGAAAUUCCUUGUCGGGUAAGUUCCGACCUGCACGAAUGGCGUAAUGAUGGCCAGGCUGUCUCCACCCGAGACUCAGUGAAAUUGAACUCGCUGUGAAGAUGCAGUGUACCCGCGGCAAGACGGAAAGACCCCGUGAACCUUUACUAUAGCUUGACACUGAACAUUGAGCCUUGAUGUGUAGGAUAGGUGGGAGGCUUUGAAGUGUGGACGCCAGUCUGCAUGGAGCCGACCUUGAAAUACCACCCUUUAAUGUUUGAUGUUCUAACGUGGACCCGUGAUCCGGGUUGCGGACAGUGUCUGGUGGGUAGUUUGACUGGGGCGGUCUCCUCCUAAAGAGUAACGGAGGAGCACGAAGGUUGGCUAAUCCUGGUCGGACAUCAGGAGGUUAGUGCAAUGGCAUAAGCCAGCUUGACUGCGAGCGUGACGGCGCGAGCAGGUGCGAAAGCAGGUCAUAGUGAUCCGGUGGUUCUGAAUGGAAGGGCCAUCGCUCAACGGAUAAAAGGUACUCCGGGGAUAACAGGCUGAUACCGCCCAAGAGUUCAUAUCGACGGCGGUGUUUGGCACCUCGAUGUCGGCUCAUCACAUCCUGGGGCUGAAGUAGGUCCCAAGGGUAUGGCUGUUCGCCAUUUAAAGUGGUACGCGAGCUGGGUUUAGAACGUCGUGAGACAGUUCGGUCCCUAUCUGCCGUGGGCGCUGGAGAACUGAGGGGGGCUGCUCCUAGUACGAGAGGACCGGAGUGGACGCAUCACUGGUGUUCGGGUUGUCAUGCCAAUGGCACUGCCCGGUAGCUAAAUGCGGAAGAGAUAAGUGCUGAAAGCAUCUAAGCACGAAACUUGCCCCGAGAUGAGUUCUCCCUGAGACUUAAAGUCUCCUGAAGGAACGUUGAAGACGACGACGUUGAUAGGCCGGGUGUGUAAGCGCAGCGAUGCGUUGAGCUAACCGGUACUAAUGAACCGUGAGGCUUAACCUU
Molecule: ribosomal RNA, 3005 nt
Filed under: Salmonella enterica subsp. enterica serovar Give
Lineage: Bacteria; Pseudomonadati; Pseudomonadota; Gammaproteobacteria; Enterobacterales; Enterobacteriaceae
Description: 23S ribosomal RNA
Rfam family: Bacterial large subunit ribosomal RNA
Source: RNAcentral